ACUCUCACCACCACCAUCACCACCACCACCAUCACCACCACCACCAUCACCACCACCACCAUCAACAGCGGUCUCCUAUACACCCGCCACGGUCUUAGCGUGCGAGCUGUGGCCUCUGCGUUGCACGUGCUCUCCCCUCGCUGCCCUCGUUGCCUCCUUCUCUUCCCCUCGCUGGCCGCCUCCGCGAUGGCGACGUCGAGGGCCGCUCUCUGCGCUGUUGCGGUCGUGUGCGUGGUGCUUGCGGCUGCCUGCGCGCCUGCGCGCGCGAUAUACGUGGGCACGCCGGCUGCUGCGCUGUUCGAGGAGUUCAAGCGGACGUACCGGCGCGCGUACGGGACGCUGGCCGAAGAGCAGCAGCGGCUGGCGAACUUCGAGCGCAACCUGGAGCUGAUGCGCGAGCAUCAGGCGAGGAACCCACACGCGAGGUUCGGGAUCACGAAGUUCUUCGACCUGUCGGAGGCGGAGUUCGCCGCGCGCUACCUGAACGGCGCCGCGUACUUCGCAGCGGCGAAGCAGCACGCCGGCCAGCACUACCGCAAGGCGCGCGCGGACCUGUCGGCGGUGCCUGAUGCGGUGGACUGGCGCGAGAAGGGCGCCGUGACGCCGGUGAAGAAUCAAGGCGCGUGCGGGUCGUGCUGGGCGUUCUCGGCGGUCGGCAACAUCGAGUCGCAGUGGGCCCGUGUCGGCCACGGCUUGGUGAGCCUGUCGGAGCAGCAGCUGGUGAGCUGCGAUGACAAAGACAAUGGCUGCAACGGCGGGCUGAUGCUGCAGGCGUUCGAGUGGCUGCUGCGACACAUGUACGGGAUCGUGUUCACGGAGAAGAGCUACCCCUACACGUCCGGCAACGGUGAUGUGGCCGAGUGCUUGAACAGCAGUAAACUCGUUCCCGGCGCGCAAAUCGACGGCUACGUGAUGAUCCCGAGCAACGAAACAGUUAUGGCUGCGUGGCUUGCGGAGAAUGGCCCCAUCGCGAUUGCGGUCGACGCCAGCUCCUUCAUGUCUUACCAGAGCGGCGUGCUGACCAGCUGCGCUGGCGAUGCACUGAACCACGGCGUGCUGCUCGUCGGGUACAACAAGACCGGUGGGGUUCCGUACUGGGUGAUCAAGAACUCGUGGGGUGAGGACUGGGGCGAGAAGGGCUACGUGCGCGUGGCCAUGGGGAAGAACGCGUGCCUGCUCAGUGAAUACCCCGUGUCCGCGCAUGUGCCGCGGAGUCUCACCCCUGGCCCGGGCACGGAGAGCGAGGAGCGCGCUCCUAAACGGGUGACGGUGGAGCAGGUGAUGUGCACCGAUAUGUACUGCAGGGAGGGGUGCAAGAAGUAUCUUCUCACCGCGAACGUGUGCUACAAGAACGGGGGAGGCGGCUCCUCUAUGACGAAGUGCGGUCCGAAGAAGGUGCUGAUGUGCUCGUACUCGAACCCUCAUUGCUUUGGUCCUGGGCUGUGCCUCGAGACUCCUGAUGGCAAGUGCGCGCCGUACUUCUUGGGCUCGAUCAUGAACACCUGCCAGUACACGUAGGGGUGGAGCGUGCGUGUAGGUGUGUGUGUGUGUGUGUGUGUGUGUGUGGUGGCAGCGCCGUCGCGCGCGUGAGGGGGCCUCCUUGGGUGCGCGCGCGCUGUGGCCGCUCCGCGUGGACGCGAUAUGUGAGGCCGAGGAAGAGGAAGGCGACGCUGCCGAAGGCGCCGCGAGGUGUUGCGGAGCGUAGGGGGAAAAUGGACGAGCAGGCGCGCUGUGAAUAGGAGCUGCGGCACCACGCAACUCGUGGUGUACCGCCAAUGGCUAUUCCGCCCGCCCUCGCUUCACGCCUCGUCCCCCCUCCCCUCGCGCGCCCUCCCUUGUUAUCCCUCUCUUUCACGCACACACACGCGCACACGCGCGCCCGUUAUUCUGCCCUCGUCUGCCUCUUUAUGUGUUUUGUGUGUUUCUUUGUUUUGCUUGCUUCUUCAGCACACUUCUGUUUUCUGCCUUCAGCGAUAUCUCCCACUCCUUGUUUUCUCUUCCCCCUCGGUGAGCGCUUCGUUUGUGGUUUGACUGUGGUGCGUCUGUGCCGGAUCAUCUACCGGGCGUGCGCACCUCCCCCAUCUCCCUGCAUCGUGUGCGUGCACUGCCUUCACACCGCGCUCGCGUGCAUGUACAUGUGCGCACUGCUUGUCGGACGCCUUCCGCCCGCGUUGGCCCCCCGCUUCCGCAUCCACGGUUUGUUUAUCGGUUGUGCUUGCUUCAUCGGCUCUUCUCUGCGCGCGUGCGUGUGUGUGCGUGCGUGUGCGUGAGGCGCAACGGUCCCCAGAGCAAAGUCCGUCCAGGGAAAGACGAUGCGCACACGCACACAUGCAUAUGAGUUGUAUAUGUGUGUGUGCACCGGAUGGAGGGUGAGGGUGUGCGCGGCUGUGUGCGCGUGCCUGCGCGUGUGCAGCAUUGCCGUGGCGGCAUCGACGAAGCGCUGCAGUGGGAUGACCCUGGUGCGCUGGCGGGAGCAGUAGUGUCGCGUGUGCGUACCGAGUGAUGGACGUCAGCGGCCUUACGAGCACCGUUGCUUUUCCCCGAUUCGUGUUGGCGCGCAGCGCAUGCACCGGGAAUGUGUGACGUGCGUCGCUGCGCGCCUCGCCGUCUCCCCUGCGUGCGCGAUGCAUGGAUGCACCGCUGUUGUGUGAGGUUGUCCGCGCCUGCGUUGCCUGUGAUGACGCCCCCUCCCUCUCUUGCACUGUCCCCGUCCCCACCUGCCCUGCGCCGUGAUCGACUUCUCCCGACGCCCUCUACAG
This 2759-nucleotide unclassified non-coding RNA is filed under the name Leishmania donovani. RNAcentral describes it as "gene:LdHU3.08.1350(CDS-product:cysteine_peptidase _B_(CPB))". Lineage: Eukaryota; Euglenozoa; Kinetoplastea; Trypanosomatida; Trypanosomatidae. The record is from RNAcentral.